Molecule: ribosomal RNA, 444 nt
Filed under: uncultured bacterium
Lineage: Bacteria
Description: bacterial SSU rRNA
Rfam family: Bacterial small subunit ribosomal RNA
Source: RNAcentral
CCAGACUCCUACGGGAGGCAGCAGUGGGGAAUAUUGCACAAUGGGGGAAACCCUGAUGCAGCGACGCCGCGUGAGUGAAGAAGUAUCUCGGUACGUAAAGCUCUAUCAGCAGGGAAGAAAAUGACGGUACCUGACUAAGAAGCCCCGGCUAAAUACGUGCCAGCAGCCGCGGUAAUACGUAUGGGGCAAGCGUUAUCCGGAUUUACUGGGUGUAAAGGGAGCGCAGGCGGCCUGCCAAGUCUGGUGUGAAAACCCGGGGCCCAACCCCGGGCCUGCAUUGGAAACUGGCGGGCUGGAGUGUCGGAGGGGCAGGCGGAAUUCCUAGUGUAGCGGUGAAAUGCGUAGAUAUUAGGAGGAACACCAGUGGCGAAGGCGGCCUGCUGGGCUUUAACUGACGCUGAGGCUCGAAAGCGUGGGGAGCAAACAGGAUUAGAUACCCCCGUA